Molecule: long non-coding RNA, 433 nt
Filed under: Mus caroli (Ryukyu mouse)
Lineage: Eukaryota; Metazoa; Chordata; Mammalia; Rodentia; Muridae
Description: predicted gene 17163 (MGP_CAROLIEiJ_G0004264.1)
Source: RNAcentral
CUGUUUGUUCCUGUGCUGCAAGUCACAGGUGCAAGGCAGCAGGUGGGCCAGGUAGCCUUUGAGUCACAGGACAACUGGGCCCACCCGCCUGGACUCCAAGCCACACUGGAGUUACCGGUGAAGGCCAAUCUGUCCUCUUCUAUUUUCUUCUUGAGGUGUUUGAUCUCAAAGUCCCUCUCCUUCAGCAACUUAUACAGUCGCCCGUUCUCAUCGACUGUCUCCCGGAGCUCACUGCGAAGAUGCUGGAUUUCAUCUUCCAACACCCUGCAAGGGAAAGAUGGACCGACUGCUCCUCACAGGCAACAGUGCCCAGGCCUCCGAAAGCUGGCUUGCACCUGUAGUAUCAGGGUUGGCCACUAGGGGGCACUAAGAAGUUGUCUGUACAAAAUAAGACCGAAACUGUGAGAGAAGAGAGGAGAUUUAAACAUACUGU